AAGGGGGAUUAUCUCCGAGCAGAAUUGGCAAGGUUAAACACUAUCUAUAAAACACAUUCGGCUGUGCCAUGAAAUGAAUUACAUAAUAUAUCAGUCAUCUACCUGGCUUUCAAAAACCUGCAAAUGCAUUUCUGUUCAGUAUGGAACCUACACCUUGCUGGAUCACCAAUUGACCUAAUGGACCCCAUGUAGAAAUAUUUACCUUUGUGAAAACAGACACAGCAAAGAGCCAAAGGAAUUACUUUAUAAAGGGUAGUGUGUCUGCCACCAGCAAGGGAGCGUUUAGGACCACAUGUUUGGGGUUGAUAGUGCAAGGCUGGCCUUCACCUGCUGACCUGCCAACCCUCUCCAAAAGAAAAAGACAAAGGAUCCCAUCUCCUGUAUUUCCUGGGAGCCCAGCCCAGUGUCUGGCACAGAGAAGAUAGUCGAUGAGUAUCAAAUGUCCCAGGCAAUCCGUCUGAGGGGCCACCCGCUGCUGAAAGAUGAGCUUGUCCACCUCUGUGAGCCACAAACCAUAGAUAAAAGCCUUCUAAGCCUAACAGAAGAGCACCGUCCCUUCCUUUCUGAAUGCAAUAAUGAGAUCACUUUCUCAAGAGUAAGACCAGAGGGGAGUGAAGGUUAAACAAAUAAACCUCUUUCUCGCUGAUAUUAACUGACCCCCAUGGCUGUGCUCUGGAUAUUGUGCUAAGUCUGGGAACACUAAGUCUGUUCCUUUUUCUCUAUCUGAGCAAAAGGUAGAAGGAGUUGAGGUUGGGGUAGGAAGAGAAUUAUAAGGGUCAGGGAGAGAAGGUUAUGAGGGCAGCAGAAAGUCUCAGCGUUCAGCUAAUGUGUGUUGAAUGAACUUCAGCUUGAGAUGACACCAGACAUUAUAUAGAUCACAGGCCAAUGGCUCAAAUGCCUCCAGGUGGAAAGAAGCAAAGCUGGCCAGUGAGAUAGGUAAUGAGGGGCCGCUGCUCCCAGGAGGGCUUGUGACCUUUCUCAGAGUGGCAGCCUCUUCUCAGCUCCAGACAAUUAUUUCCAAAUAGGUGUGUGAGUCCUCUGUGUCUAGAUUUUCCUAUUUUUUUUCCCCAAGAAAAGCCAG
RNAcentral lists this long non-coding RNA (1081 nucleotides) under Homo sapiens (human). RNAcentral's name for it is "HSALNT0053405". Lineage: Eukaryota; Metazoa; Chordata; Mammalia; Primates; Hominidae. The record is from RNAcentral.